Long non-coding RNA from Mytilus californianus (California mussel), 871 nucleotides. RefSeq lists it as uncharacterized. The record is from RefSeq and is a predicted model, not a curated record. The transcript has 3 exons. NCBI's taxonomy places the organism in Eukaryota, Metazoa, Mollusca, Bivalvia, Mytilida, Mytilidae.
CCCAGGAUCAUUCCUUUGAACCAAAUCCUAUAACAACAAAUCAAAUUCAACGAAAACAAGCAAAGCGAAAUGUGGUUAAAAGAGUCCUGUACCGGAAUGCUCUCUGCGAACAGUACGUUACUGCUGCGAACUAUAAUGGUUUGAACACUGAUUUGAUAUACUUUAUCGACGAGAACGCAUCGAAGGUACCACGGAUAGCACUGAACAGUUUUAGGGAGCUAAGAGAUUAUCUAAAAGAACCAAUACCAAACCAUCCAGACAGUGACAUUCUACUGAUCAGAUCCUUUAUAAUUUGGUUGGCAGAUGCAUUGGGUAAUGAUACAGUUGAGGAUUUAGAGCCACCUCCAUCUUCUCCUCUGUCAUACAGAUCUGCUGAAGGACAAGGAAGAACCCCGGAUGUAUUGGUUAGACUUUUACGGCAACAUAAAACUACCAGUACCACAAUAUUUAUCUUAUUAUGUUGGGCUGCUGGUAUUAAAUGUGACAAGAUAAGUGGUGUCUGUAGGAGUGACGAUGGAAAUAAGUUACUUCCUUGCGCAUGGGUAGCAGUUUUUAUUAAAGACACGUGGCAGAUUGUUCAUCCAUAUCGCAUAUGUCGAACACUAUCGGGGAAUAUACCAAAAGACAUGUUUAAAACAUACAAUGAAAUCAAUUCAGAUACAAAUAAGAUGAUAAAGAAAACAUUCUUAGAUCAUUAUGUAUUGUCAAAUCCAGAAUAUUUUAUCUACGAAUGCUUCCCUGAUGAAGAAAAAUGGCAGUUGCUCCUUGAAUCAAUAACACAAGAACAGUUCAUAGACCAUGAAAUGUUCUUUCCUCCUUGGUGGAGAACGGGUCUAAAACUUACUACUCAUUUAAGCCAUCGGAUAAUCUG